UACGUAGGUGGCGAGCGUUGUCCGGAAUGAUUGGGCGUAAAGGGAGCGCAGGUGGGACGGUAAGUCCUUCUUAAAAGGCAGGGGCUCAGCCCCUGUAAGGGAAGGAAACUAUCGAUCUUGAGUGCCGGAGAGGAAAGCGGAAUUCCCAGUGUAGCGGUGAAAUGCGUAGAUAUUGGGAAGAACACCAGUGGCGAAGGCGGCUUUCUGGACGGCAACUGACACUGAGGCUCGAAAGCCAGGGGAGCGAACGGG
Molecule: ribosomal RNA, 252 nt
Filed under: uncultured bacterium
Lineage: Bacteria
Description: partial 16S ribosomal RNA
Rfam family: Bacterial small subunit ribosomal RNA
Source: RNAcentral